GCCAGCAGUCGCGGUAAUACAAGGGAGACUAGCGUUUUUCAUCUUUAUUAGGUUUAAAGGGUACCUAGACGGUUUAUCAAUCCUUAAAAAGGAAACUGAUAAGACUAGAGUUUUAUGGGGGAGGUGUAUAUAGUAUUGAAAGAGAAGGGAUAGAAUUUUUUUAUACUUUCAAGACUGAUAAAAGUGAAAACAAUCCUCUAUGUAAAAACUGACGUUAAGGGACGAAGGCAUGGUUAUCGAAUAGGAUUAGAUACCCUAAUAGUCCAUGCAGAAAAUGAUGAAUGCCAUAAAUAAAUGUUAUAAUUACAUCAAUGUAAUUAUAUUAUGACUUAUAUUUUAUAAAUGAAAGUGUAAGCAUUCCACCUCAAGAGUACUGUGGCAACACAUAAACUGAAAUCAUUAGNCCGUUUCUGAANCCAGUAGUGAAGUAUGUUAUUUAAUUCGAUAAUCCUCGAAAAACCUUACCUCAAUUUGAAUAUUUAGUUAAUUAACUAAAUACAAGUGUUGCACGGCUGUCUUCAGUUAAUGUCGUGAGAUAUGGUUAACCCCU
RNAcentral lists this ribosomal RNA (550 nucleotides) under Pseudosigmoidea excentrica. RNAcentral's name for it is "SSU rRNA". It matches the Rfam family "Bacterial small subunit ribosomal RNA", at positions 507 to 1088 of the family's 1533-position model. Lineage: Eukaryota; Fungi; Ascomycota; Dothideomycetes; Venturiales; Sympoventuriaceae. The record is from RNAcentral.